GAUGAACGCUCGCGGCAGGCCUAACACAUGCAAGUCGAGGGAGAAGCCCUUUCGGGGGCAGAAACCGGCGCACGGGUGCGUAACGCGUAUGCAACCUACCUUUCACAGGGGGAUAGCCCGAAGAAAUUUGGAUUAAUACCCCAUAAUAUUAUUGGAUGGCAUCAUUUGAUAAUUAAAACUGCGGUGGUGAAAGAUGGGCAUGCGUCCUAUUAGCUAGUUGGAGUGGUAACGGCACCCCAAGGCUACGAUAGGUAGGGGUCCUGAGAGGGAGAUCCCCCACACUGGUACUGAGACAGGGACCAGACUCCUACGGGAGGCAGCAGUGAGGAAGAUUGGUCAAGGGUCGGAAGACUGAACCAGCCAUGCCGCGUGCAGGAAGAAUGCCUUAUGGGCUGUAAACUGCUUUUAUAUGGGAAGAAUAAGGCGUACGUGUACGUUGAUGACGGUACCAUAUGAAUAAGCAUCGGCUAACUCCGUG
Molecule: ribosomal RNA, 478 nt
Filed under: uncultured bacterium
Lineage: Bacteria
Description: partial 16S ribosomal RNA
Rfam family: Bacterial small subunit ribosomal RNA
Source: RNAcentral